Molecule: long non-coding RNA, 458 nt
Organism: Quercus robur (English oak)
Lineage: Eukaryota; Viridiplantae; Streptophyta; Magnoliopsida; Fagales; Fagaceae
Exons: 2
Source: RefSeq, a predicted model, not a curated record
UGUCUUAAUCUCUCAAUGCCUCUAAUUAUUUUACAGGUACUAUUAUCUUAUUAUCAUCUAAAGACUGGCAUAUGGGACAGACAUUUUGAAUUGGCAAAUGGCAAUAGUGUUAUAUUUUCGGCACGCCUAUUUGCUUCACAGUGCCUGACUGUGCAUUGAGCAUUUGAAACAACACAUUUAGAUCCGUGGGAAGUCUUUGUUGUAAGCAGUUUGAAAAUUUUCUUUGAUAAAUGACAUGCUGACCUGGUAUUCUUCCAUAGAUAUCACUGUUGUUUUUCAACUUUUGGGAUCUGAUUUUUAAUUUCCUUUUUUUUCCCUUCUUCCUUUAGGAUCCCUGUUAUCUACAACCCCUUUUUGAUCAAUUUAUCCAAUUUUAAGAAUUACAAAAAGUAAAUUGUAUGUUCCCUUGAGUGUGCUAGUAAAUUUACCAAGUAAAAAGGAAAAAAAAAAAAAAAAGA